UACGGAGGAUGCGAGCGUUAUCCGGAUUUAUUGGGUUUAAAGGGUGCGCAGGCGGUCUGUUAAGUCAGCGGUCAAAGCCCGGGGCUCAACCCCGGCCCGCCGUUGAAACUGGCAGUCUCGAGCUGGAGAGAAGUAUGCGGAAUGCGCGGUGUAGCGGUGAAAUGCAUAGAUAUCGCGCAGAACUCCGAUUGCGAAGGCAGCAUGCCGGCUCCACACUGACGCUGAGGCACGAAAGCGUGGGUAUCGAACAGG
This 252-nucleotide ribosomal RNA is filed under the name uncultured bacterium. RNAcentral's name for it is "partial 16S ribosomal RNA". It matches the Rfam family "Bacterial small subunit ribosomal RNA", at positions 524 to 776 of the family's 1533-position model. The record is from RNAcentral.